AUAUGAAUUUUUCCCAUCUUAUUUUGGACUGUGUGGCACCCUCCUCUGCGAAGAAGCCCAAAAGUCUUGGACCAGAUUUCCCUUACAAAAUUGGGCAGUGCUGAGAGCGUACAGGGUUCUCAAAAAAAAGUGGGGUCGAUAUUUUUUUCUUCAUUUUUUAUUGCAUCGGGCCCCACGUGAGACCGACCCCUCACAUGGGAAUCGGUUAGACCUCUGUGAAAAAAACUCCGUACACAGAACUUUAUCCUACAAAAUUUCUCUCUCUCUCUCUGUAUGUGCUACCACAUCCAUCCAUCCAUCCAUCCCAUCACAGCUCCACUGACGUUGUCUUCCCACUCCAACCUUCACCCAAUCCCAAACCCACCAGCUCCAGACCUAUUAUCCAGUUUUGCUAUAAUUGAUUGUGCCGUGCCCCUUGGACAAUCCCCUGAAUUAGGGAGGUUCCACACGGUCCUCUGGUUAUCCAAGGAGAUUGUUCAAAGGGCUUUAAUCUAAUUGAUUUUGUCUCCUCAACAUAGUGGCCAAGUUUUGGGUGGAUUUCGGCUGCGGCGUUUUCGCUCCUUUUGAAAUGCCUCUUUAAAAUACUCAAAUCACUUCCUAUUGUAAGACCAUAAAUACCGUCUCAAAAAUAUAAAAAUAAAAAUUCUGUAUCGUUUGAUCUUAGGGAAAGGUAUUCUCUUAUUUUUCUUCGUUUUUUUCCCAUUUACAAGAUAAUCUACGGGAUUUAAAUUUUAAGGUUUCUAUUGCUUUGUAUGAUCUGCACUUCUAGGUUCCAGUUUCAAUUCGAACUUUCCUUCGA
RNAcentral lists this long non-coding RNA (799 nucleotides) under Olea europaea subsp. europaea. The record is from RNAcentral. Lineage: Eukaryota; Viridiplantae; Streptophyta; Magnoliopsida; Lamiales; Oleaceae.